Molecule: ribosomal RNA, 301 nt
Filed under: uncultured bacterium
Lineage: Bacteria
Description: partial 16S ribosomal RNA
Rfam family: Bacterial small subunit ribosomal RNA
Source: RNAcentral
CAGCAGCCGCGGGAAAACGGAGGGUGCAAGCGUUAAUCGGAAUUACUGGGCGUAAAGCGUGCGUAGGCGGUUCGUUAAGUCUGUUGUGAAAGCCCCGGGCUCAACCUGGGAAUGGCAAUGGAUACUGGCGAGCUAGAGUGUGUCAGAGGAUGGUGGAAUUCCCGGUGUAGCGGUGAAAUUCGUAGAUAUUCGGAAGAACACCUGUGGCGAAGGCGGCUCACUGGACGCGUAUUGAUGCUGAGGUGCGAAAGCGUGGGGAGCAAACAGGAUUAGAUACCCGCGUAGUCCCUGUCUCUUAUAC